UACGUAGGCAGCAAGCGUUGUUCGGAAUUACUGGGCGUAAAGAGUGUGUAGGCGGUGCUCUAAGUCUGUUGUGAAAGCCCUGGGCUCAACCUGGGAAUGGCAGUGGAUACUGGAAAGCUAGAGUGCGGUAGAGGGUAGUGGAAUUCCCGGUGUAGCGGUGAAAUGCGUAGAGAUCGGGAGGAAGGCCGGUGGCGAAGGCGGCGCUCUGGAACGUUUCUGGACACUGAGCUCGAAAGCGUGGGGAGCAAACAGG
This 253-nucleotide ribosomal RNA is filed under the name uncultured bacterium. Its description in RNAcentral is "partial 16S ribosomal RNA". It matches the Rfam family "Bacterial small subunit ribosomal RNA", at positions 524 to 776 of the family's 1533-position model. The record is from RNAcentral.